RNAcentral lists this ribosomal RNA (482 nucleotides) under uncultured bacterium. RNAcentral's name for it is "partial 16S ribosomal RNA". It matches the Rfam family "Bacterial small subunit ribosomal RNA", at positions 30 to 507 of the family's 1533-position model. The record is from RNAcentral.
AUUGAACGCUGGCGGCAUGCCUUACACAUGCAAGUCGAACGGUAACGGGCCUUCGGGUGCCGACGAGUGGCGAACGGGUGAGUAAUACAUCGGAACGUGCCCGAUCGUGGGGGAUAACGAGGCGAAAGCUUUGCUAAUACCGCAUACGAUCUACGGAUGAAAGCAGGGGACCGCAAGGCCUUGCGCGGACGGAGCGGCCGAUGGCAGAUUAGGUAGUUGGUGGGAUAAAAGCUUACCAAGCCGACGAUCUGUAGCUGGUCUGAGAGGAUGAUCAGCCACACUGGGACUGAGACACGGCCCAGACUCCUACGGGAGGCAGCAGUGGGGAAUUUUGGACAAUGGGCGCAAGCCUGAUCCAGCCAUGCCGCGUACAGGAUGAAGGCCUUCGGGUUGUAAACUGCUUUUGUACGGAACGAAAAGCCUUCUUUUAAUACAGGAGGGUCAUGACGGUACCGUAAGAAUAAGCACCGGCUAACUACGUG